UACGGGGGGAGCAAGCGUUGUUCGGAUUUACUGGGCGUAAAGGGCGCGUAGGCGGUCGUGACAAGUCACUUGUGAAAUCUCCGGGCUUAACUCGGAACAGUCAAGUGAUACUGUCGGACUAGAGUACAGAAGGGGCAACUGGAAUUCUCGGUGUAGCGGUGAAAUGCGUAGAUAUCGAGAGGAACACCUGCGGCGAAGGCGGGUUGCUGGGCUGAUACUGACGCUGAGGCGCGAAAGCCAGGGGAGCGAACGGG
This 254-nucleotide ribosomal RNA is filed under the name uncultured bacterium. Its description in RNAcentral is "partial 16S ribosomal RNA". It matches the Rfam family "Bacterial small subunit ribosomal RNA", at positions 524 to 776 of the family's 1533-position model. The record is from RNAcentral.